GAAAUGCGAUAAGUAAUGUGAAUUGCAGAAUUCAGUGAAUCAUCGAAUCUUUGAACGCAUCUUGCGCUCCUUGGUAUUCCUUGGAGCAUGCCUGUUUGAGUAUCAUGAAAUCUUCAAAGUAAAUCUUUUGUUAACUCAAUUGGUUUCUACUUUGGUAUUGGAGGUCUUUGCAGCUUCACACCUGCUCCUCUUUGUUCAUUAGCUGGAUCUCAGUGUUAUGCUUGGUUCCACUCGGCGUGAUAAGUUAUCUAUCGCUGAGGACACUGUAAAAGGUGGCCAAGGUAAAUGCAGAUGAACCGCUUCUAAUAGUCCAUUGACUUGGACAAUAAUUUUAUGAUCUGAUCUCAAAUCAGGUAGGACUACCCGCUGAACUUGAGC
This 378-nucleotide unclassified non-coding RNA is filed under the name plant metagenome. Its description in RNAcentral is "partial contains 5.8S ribosomal RNA, internal transcribed spacer 2, and large subunit ribosomal RNA". The stretch from base 1 to 105 matches the Rfam family "5.8S ribosomal RNA", at positions 50 to 154 of the family's 154-position model. The record is from RNAcentral.